This 472-nucleotide ribosomal RNA is filed under the name uncultured bacterium. Its description in RNAcentral is "bacterial SSU rRNA". It matches the Rfam family "Bacterial small subunit ribosomal RNA", at positions 355 to 825 of the family's 1533-position model. The record is from RNAcentral.
UGGGGAAUUUUGGACAAUGGGGGCAACCCUGAUCCAGCAAUGCCGCGUGAGUGAAGAAGGCCUUCGGGUUGUAAAGCUCUUUUGUCAGGGAAGAAACGGUGUGGGCUAAUAUCCUGCACUAAUGACGGUACCUGAAGAAUAAGCACCGGCUAACUACGUGCCAGCAGCCGCGGUAAUACGUAGGGUGCAAGCGUUAAUCGGAAUUACUGGGCGUAAAGCGUGCGCAGGCGGUUUUGUAAGUCUGUCGUGAAAUCCCCGGGCUCAACCUGGGAAUUGCGAUGGAGACUGCAAGGCUAGAAUCUGGCAGAGGGGGGUAGAAUUCCACGUGUAGCAGUGAAAUGCGUAGAGAUGUGGGGGAACACCGAUGGCGAAGGCAGCCCCCUGGGUCAAGAUUGACGCUCAUGCACGAAAGCGUGGGGAGCAAACAGGAUUAGAUACCCCAGUAGUCCCUGAGCGGGCUGGCAAGGCGCAU